ACAGGAUCAUUUAUUCUAAAACCAUACCUUAUGCUUUAUUCUCCUCUCAGCAUUUCUAAAUUGAUAUUUUGCUGAUUUAUUGUACUACUUUUCAGGGUAUUGCUGCUGGGUUAAUAAUUUUCGAGGUCAUCCCUUUCAUUCUUCAUUCAGAAAGACAUGAAGUUGGCCUUUUUCCAGUUUUCAGGAAUGUAUUAGUCCUUGGGAGCUGCCACUAACAAGGCAGCCUGUCAGUGACCUGAACUGAUUCACGGUGUAUCCCAGAAGGCAAAACAUGAGGCCUUGUAGAUUUGAAUGCAUCGAUAGCAUUCAGAUAAUCAUGAGUGAGUCAAAAAAGAUUACUGGGAAUCUACUGAAUGCAAAGUUUGCGCUGGAUCUUCCCUUUCUGUGGUCUGAUGAUCUACUUUCUCGUUAGCCAGUGUGACGUCAAUGGAGGAGUUAAUCAAGCUCUCCCAUUUGCACAGCUUGGGAAAACAGGAGGCAAAAAGGGAGAGGAUCCAGCAGGCUUUAACACUUGCUUCAUGACGCUUCACGUUUGUGUCCCUAGCAGGGAGCCAGUGUCUGUGGCCUGUUUCAGAUGAUAAUGUAUCUCACUGGGUGUAUCAGUACUGGUAAAGAUGACCUCUCACUCACUCCUUCAUUCCCCCAACCAUCCAUUCAUUCAUGGACAGCAUACUAAGCCCCUACUCCGCAUCAGGCAUUGGGGUUAUAACAGUGAAGAAAACAAAGUUCCAGGUCUCAGGAAGCUUGUGACUAAUUGUACCACCUAGUUUUUAUAAUUCUUGCUUUCAUAACUAUAAAUAUAUACAGAAGAGAAUGUCGAUGGCUGACACUUUUACUAUUCCCUAAAAAAAGCAAAAAUCCUUAGGCCAAAAAUGAGCAAAAGGGAGAAAGGGGGGUUCAGGCCCAAUUCUUAUUCAUAUUCCUAACCAGUGGCAUCCCGACAUAUUGAGAAGAAGUGAAUGAUGACAUUCCACCUGCCCACUCACUCCAAGCCUCUGUCACACCAUAACACUGCCUCCUUGUUCUGUGUCUUCCCCUAAUAGUGUCACCCUGCUGUCCUGGGAUAUAUGCCGUGGGCAGGUGCUCAAGCACUAUAACUAUUGUAACAUCUGGGGCACCAUUACCCCAGAAAUUCAAUCUUUUACAUGUAAAACAGAAAAUAUUUGUAAACCAUUUCCUCUUACCAUUCUCAUCUUGCUCAUUUGGUGUGUCCCUUUGGGUCUCCGGCUUUGGAGCUACUUCUUUUCCAUCUAUCAUUUGCCCCUGAGAAGCUCUGCCUACAAGUCUCAGGCGUUCACCCCAGAUAUUUUGAUAGAGUUUGCAUUCAGUAAAUAUCAAGCACAAAGAAUGUGAGAGGCAAGGUAUUUUCCAGCACAGGUAGUGAGCAAACAUUAAAGCAACUUCUGAGAAUCUGGAUACGAGGGAUAAAAAUCAUGAUCUAUGGUGCACGGCCAUUUGUUGUAGAUCUUCAAUUCAGUGCAACAAACAUUCUCUUUGGACACCUGCUUAAAGUUUAUUUAUUUUGAAUGAAAGAGAGAGCUAGCAGAAGAGGGGCAGAGAGAGAGAGGGAGAGAAAGAAUCCCAAGCAGGCUACACACUAUCAGUACAGAGCUUGACACAGGGUUCAAACUCACCGAACUGUGAGACCAUGACCUGAGCCAUAGUCAAGAGUUGGACACUUAACCGACUGAGCCACUCAGGCGCCCCCUCUUUGGACACUUUGUUUCCUUGACUCCACACACUCCAGCUUUUCUUCUCACUCUCUGGCUUCUUCUCAGUCUGUCUUGUGAGCUCUUCUCCAUCAGACCUCUUUGUUGGAGGUCAUGGCUCACUGUUGAGCAAGCAUCUCUUCUCCAUCUAGCCACAUUUUCUCCCUAGGUGAUCUCACCACACCUUGUCUUUAAUUACUGCAUAUAAUUUUAAUUUAGUUACUUUAUAUAUUUAUUAAUUUAAUUACUACAUAUAUGGGAAGGAAGGCAGGAGGGACAGAAAGAGGGAGACAGGGAGAGUCUAUUUAAUUACUGUGUAUAUAUUACUUUAAUUACUAUAUAGAGAAAGUGAGAGAUGGGGAGAGUAGAGAGGGAGAAAGAAGAGAGAAGGUAUAUAAAUAUAGCACAGUGACUCACGAUUGCAGUUUCAGCCCAGCUCUCUCCUCUGAAAUACAGAUCCAUGUACUCAAUGCUUUAACAUCUCUCCUUGGAUAUUUCAAAAGCAUUACAGACUCAGCAUGUCAAACUGAAUUCAUAGUCUCUCUCAAAAUUUGAUCUUUCAUUGUUCCUGCUAUCUUUGAGUGGUGCCUCCCAUUCAUUUGCUUGGUGAUGCAAGCUGAAAAUCCAGGAGUUAUGUUGACACUUCAGUCUCUCUUCUUGCCCACAUCCAAUCCAGCACCAAGUUUUGACAAGUUUGCCUCCUAAAUAUCCUUCAAGUCUGCCCACUUCUUUUCUCCUCCCAUCAUUUUAAUCCACGCAGAGAGCAUAAAACCUCUGGAUUUGAUUCCUGCUAAUCUACCCACAUCCAUUUUUGUCUCCUACAAUCCAUUUUCCACAGAGCAGCCAAAGAGGUCAUUCAGAAGGCAAAGUUCUUGAAUGGCAUUUCCGCUGCUCGGAGGAUACAUGUGUCCCCGUCUACCUAUAUCAGCCUCAUCUGAUCUAUAUUCCUCCUCAUUCUCUCUGUCCAGCUCCCCAGCCUUCCUUCCAGUUCUCUUCUCUGCAUGUCCUUCAACCUAGGAAUCUUGACCAUAUCUUCUUGGAGUUUACUCUGAUUCAUGCCUCAGAUCUUGACUCUGUCUUCCCCAGUACUUACCACAAAAGUAUUUGUUAAGUGAUAUUGAGGCUUGAAGAGGGGUACUCAUAAGUGGGUCUUCUGUUUUCCCUUCCUGGGUUUAUAGCCAGUGGAGAGAGAAGAUAGGGAUGAAAAAAAAAAAUCAGAUGGAGAUAAAAAUAUCAGUUUUAUGAUCACUAGAGAUGUUGAAACUGAGGUUUGCAUGUGAGCAACAUUGGUAACCCCAACACAAAACCCCAAAUCAGGCAGCCUCACUUCCCCUAGUCUUUGCUCAAUACACAUGCCCAUGGAACAAGUCUCUCACAGAACUCACCUCCAAGAGGAAGAAUGGAGUGUGGAUCCAAGAGAGGAGAGGAGAACGAGGCCCGGCUAUGCACCACCACCACCCUCAAGAUCCUCUCCCAGACUUACCAUCCAGGUAACCCACUCCACCUCUGUGGUCAGAAUGAGGGGUGUGGGAAGAGGCCAAGUGUGCUGGGAACGUCCUUCCUCAUAGAAACCAGAGGAGUGGAUGGGGUGCCUGGGUGGCUCAGUCACUUGAGCGUCCAACUCUUGAUUUCAGCUCAGGUCAUGACCCCAGGGUCAUGGGAUCAAGCCCUACAUCGGCUCCAUGCUGACCUUGGAGCCUGCCUAAGGUUCUCUCUCUCUCUCUCUCUCUCUCUCUCUCUCUCUCUCUCCCCUUUUCCUCUCUCUCCUCUCUCUCUCUAAAAGAAGAAAGAAAGAAAGAAGAAAGAAAGAAAGAAAGAAAGAAAGAAAGAAAGAAAGAAAGAAAGAAAGAAAGAAAGAGUAAAAAAAGAAACCAGAGGAGUGGAUAAGAAGCAAUUUUCCCCUAACAAGUCAAUAGGAAGUUGGACAUGACUGAAUGAAUGAGUGAACAAACAUUGACUACACAUCUAAAAAGUGGAGGAGGCCUGACUGGUGUGAUGGUGAGUUUUGAAGGCAUUGUGCAUCCCUGCCUCGGCCACUUCUCUCUUCUCCUGCCUCUGCCUGCCUGCAGAGAGGAUGUAUUCUCCUUCACUCUGCCUUGCACGGGUGACACCCCUAAAAAGAGAUCUUUGAAUGAGAACAGAAGGAGAUUCAGACAGAACCCCAAGGACUCCAUCCAACAAAUCAUGGUUAUGAUGAACAUAAACCAACAAAUGGGUCUGAGAAGAAGCAAGGGAGGACCAGGAAAAUAAGGUGUGACAGGAGACAAGGGAAGUAUCACAAGGAUGAAGUGAUUAAGAACUGCUAAGAAAUCAAAUAAGGUAAGGGUUUAAAAUGCCUUUCAAAGUUAGUGACAUGGAGGUAAUUAAUGACGUGAGCCACUUUAGUGGGAUGAGAGGCAGAAACAAUGAUGAAUUGAUUCAACAGUGAGAGGUAAUUCAUGACCCCAACAUGAGCUACUUCAGUGGAAUGGAAGGCAGAAACAGGGAUUAAAUUGGUUCAUUGGUAAGGAAACGGAGACAGUGAGUAUAAAUACAUGCUUAAAAUGGUUUUGAGAAGUUUUGAUAACUAUGACAGGAGGACAGCAACUAAGGAGACAGUGAAGUCCAGGGUAGACUUCGUGACCUGUCCUCCAUCCAACCUUUCAAAUGUUGGGGAAGACAUUAAAAUGUUGAGCAUAUUUAAAUGCUGAUACAAAGUCUCAGCAUUAAGGAGGGGGUCUGAAGCCCCCAGAGAUGGAUAAUUGAGAAUUUAUGAAUCCAGAAUAGGAGGAAAUAGAAUGCAGGGCGCAGGUGGAUUAACCUUUAAUAAGAACACGAUGUCUCCUCUGCCUAAUGGCAGCAAAGGAGGAGAGGGCACCUUGUGCAGAAGCAGGCAGGGUUAAAGGUUUGGUAGCAUAGGUCAAGAAGUGUCUACCCAGAUGGCUUCAAUGUUCAAUGGCAAAUAGGAGAUGAAGUCAUGGGAGAGGGAGGAGUAAGUCUAGUUUGGAAGGGGCUAAGGUUGACUAUUCAAAGACAGUGGAGAAGAGUGGAAAAUACUUUUUUUUUUUUUUUAACACUCAGAGGAAAAAACUUCAUGGCUUGAAUUCAAACUGAUUUUCUCAAGUGGACUAUUCUCUUGUGAAGAUGAGGACAGUACCUAUGUCCAUUGAUACACUUGUUUACAGCUCAAAGAUCAGAGGCACCAUGCUACUAAAUAUGCACAUGGCCCUGAGAAACACAUCUUUUUUUUUUAAUGUGUGUUUAUUUUUGAGACAGAGUGUGAGUGGAGGAGGGUCAGAGAGAGGGGGAGACAGAAGAU
Molecule: long non-coding RNA, 5007 nt
Organism: Felis catus (domestic cat)
Lineage: Eukaryota; Metazoa; Chordata; Mammalia; Carnivora; Felidae
Exons: 3
Source: RefSeq, a predicted model, not a curated record